GACGAACGCUGGCGGCGUGCUUAACACAUGCAAGUCGAACGGUAAGGCCCUUCGGGUACACGAGUGGCGAACGGGUGAGUAACACGUGGUGAUCUGCCCUGCACUUCGGGAUAAGCCUGGGAAACUGGGUCUAAUACCGGAUAGGACCAUGGACUUCACGGUUUGUGGUGGAAAGCUUUUGCGGUGUGGGAUGGGCCCGCCGCCUAUCAGCUUGUUGGUGGGGUAAUGGCCUACCAAGGCGACGACGGGUAGCCGGCCUGAGAGGGUGUCCGGCCACACUGGGACUGAGAUACGGCCCAGACUCCUACGGGAGGCAGCAGUGGGGAAUAUUGCACAAUGGGCGCAAGCCUGAUGCAGCGACGCCGCGUGAGGGAUGAC
Molecule: ribosomal RNA, 378 nt
Filed under: uncultured bacterium
Lineage: Bacteria
Description: bacterial SSU rRNA
Rfam family: Bacterial small subunit ribosomal RNA
Source: RNAcentral